GAUGAACGCUAGCGGCAGGCCUAAUACAUGCAAGUCGAGCGGCAAGUCGAGGAGUAAUCUGAGACCUAGAGCGGCGUACGGGUGCGUAACGCGUAUGCAACCUACCUCAUACAGGGGGAUAGCCCGGAGAAAUCUGGAUUAAUACCCCAUAGCACAGCACAAGGGCAUCUGCGAGCUGUUAAAGAUUCAUCGGUAUGAGAUGGGCAUGCGUCUGAUUAGCUAGUUGGCGGUGUAACGGACCACCAAGGCGACGAUCAGUAGGGGUUCUGAGAGGAAGGUCCCCCACACUGGCACUGAGAUACGGGCCAGACUCCUACGGGAGGCAGCAGUAGGGAAUAUUGGGCAAUGGACGAGAGUCUGACCCAGCCAUGCCGCGUGCAGGAAGAAGGCCUUCUGGGUUGUAAACUGCUUUUAUCUGGGAAGAAAAGGCCCAUGCGUGGGACAUUGCCGGUACCAGAUGAAUAAGCACCGGCUAACUCCGUGCCAGCCGCCGCGGUAA
This 499-nucleotide ribosomal RNA is filed under the name uncultured bacterium. Its description in RNAcentral is "partial 16S ribosomal RNA". It matches the Rfam family "Bacterial small subunit ribosomal RNA", at positions 28 to 523 of the family's 1533-position model. The record is from RNAcentral.